Brassica napus (rape) is the source of this 1785-nucleotide long non-coding RNA. RefSeq lists it as uncharacterized. The record is from RefSeq and is a predicted model, not a curated record. NCBI's taxonomy places the organism in Eukaryota, Viridiplantae, Streptophyta, Magnoliopsida, Brassicales, Brassicaceae. The transcript is spliced from 2 exons.
UUCUGGUUCUUUAUUGCUCCCGUUGUUGAUACAUAAAGCCCGUAUUUAUAAUGGGCCUGAUUGGGUUAAAACUCUCACAGAGACUACUAAUGAGGCCUGUACGCUGGGCUCUCACACACAUGUGGAUAAGGAUUAGCUAGGGAUUUUGAUUGUUUCUCACGCCAUUGUUUUCGGCUGGCAGUAUCAUCAGCGCCCGUCCGGUCCCUGCAUUAAAGCAGGUAAAACAAUGGCUUUAGAUCACAUAUUAAAAAAAUAAAAUAUAGGCCACAUAUUUCAAAAUUAACUGCAGCUCAAAUGGUUACAUAGGAGAAGUUAGUGAUCUUCUUUCCUAUGGCUCAAGCUACGAACUCAUUUUGCUAUAAUUGUUUUGCUAACUUACUAUAAAGGCCACACUACUUUUGACAUGCUUUAAACCUCAAAUUUUUUUGGGACGGCACUGAUCAGCGAUGUGGUUUAUCCAUUCACAAUAUUCGCUAUUGAAGUUGGAAGAGAUUACUUAAAAACUCAUCCAACUUAGUAUUUACAACGAGAAAAACAAUUACAGUACCCCUUUUUUUUUGUUCAACAACAAUCACAAUAUUUACAGCGAGAAAAACAAUCACAAUACUUAAAAAGCGAAAUAUGUUGGAGGUAAGUUUCACUCUACUCUACUCCAAUCCUAGUCUAAGAAUUCAGCUUAAUAGUGCAAAGACUCGACAACAUGAUAAUAGGACCAUGAAGAAUGAAGGCCCAUCCCAAGCUCUAGAAAAAGUCAAUGUCGUCGUAGAUCAUAUUAUAGCCUUCUCCAAAUAGUUAUAAAGAAACGACAAAUGAGAAGGAGAGGAGAGUUCCAAGUCUCAUACAUCAAAGCCAUAUAUAAAUGGCUUUCGUGUUCACUUGUAUUUUUUAUAUCAUUUGUUCAUCGUUGUUGUAUAAGCUAAAAGAUCAAUAAUUUUUUUUUUCGUACGGUCUAUAAGCAGUUUUUUAAUUAUUGUUUUUUAUGCGUUGUAUAAAACUAACUCUAAUUUUUUAGUGAAUUUUGAGAUUCAUCUAAUUCUACUCUUUAGCGGUGGCUAAUUUAGAAUCCCUCGGAUAACAUAAAGGGAGAUAUAUGAUUUAUUUGUGUUUGCAUUUUACGAGAGGUCUAACUACUUUAACUCUUCAGUAAUAUUUAUACAUUGAUUGAUAUAUUAACAAUAACAAAAGGUUAAAUUCAAAAUUCAAGUUCUUUCUCUCCUCUUUUUAGAAAGAGUAAAAUUAUCUCAUGUUCUCUCAUCUCUAUCUUACACAGGAGAUGAAUUUUCAGAGGCUAGAGACUUUCUUUUGUUGUAAAAUAACUCUUCCAUUUUUAGAUCCAUUUUGUUCUUCUCAUUAGGUGAUUUGGAGAGGAGUCAGAAGAACUGGAGCUUCCUAUCGGCAUCGUUCUAACAAGGCUUUAUCUCGUUCACUCUAUAGCUAUUCCUUGAUCUUAACUCUAGCGACCGGAGGAGAUGUUCUAUCUGAUCGGCGGCGAGUGAAGGUUGGAGAGCAUGCAAGUAGAUUCAGGCGAAUCGACGUUGGAGAUUGACGGUUCAUUUGUAUAGCUUACCGGCGACCCUUCCUCUCACCUCGGUUAUGGAAACAACAAAGCCAAGCCACGGAGGCGGACACGUGGAUCACAUGCAUUCAUCAUUAUAUAUUUUUCAGUCUUCGUUUGGGCUUAAUUUGUUUUGCAUUUUAGCUUGAUCUGCUUAUAAAACAAUAUGCCUAUUGGGAUUUAAUACAAUAAGUUGACAACAAAUAAUAAUGGGAAAAUAGGCUUUAAAA